RNAcentral lists this ribosomal RNA (490 nucleotides) under uncultured bacterium. RNAcentral describes it as "partial 16S ribosomal RNA". It matches the Rfam family "Bacterial small subunit ribosomal RNA", at positions 29 to 505 of the family's 1533-position model. The record is from RNAcentral.
AGUGAACGCUGGCGGUAGGCCUAACACAUGCAAGUCGAACGGCAGCACAGUAAGAGCUUGCUCUUACGGGUGGCGAGUGGCGGACGGGUGAGGAAUACAUCGGAAUCUACUUUUUCGUGGGGGAUAACGUAGGGAAACUUACGCUAAUACCGCAUACGACCUACGGGUGAAAGCAGGGGAUCUUCGGACCUUGCGCGACUGAAUGAGCCGAUGUCGGAUUAGCUAGUUGGCGGGGUAAAGGCCCACCAAGGCGACGAUCCGUAGCUGGUCUGAGAGGAUGAUCAGCCACACUGGAACUGAGACACGGUCCAGACUCCUACGGGAGGCAGCAGUGGGGAAUAUUGGACAAGGGGCGCAAGCCUGAUCCAGCCAUACCGCGUGGGUGAAGAAGGCCUUCGGGUUGUAAAGCCCUUUUGUUGGGAAAGAAAAGCAGCAGGUUAAUACCCCGCUGUUCUGACGGUACCCAAAGAAUAAGCACCGGCUAACUUCG